RNAcentral lists this ribosomal RNA (488 nucleotides) under uncultured bacterium. RNAcentral describes it as "bacterial SSU rRNA". It matches the Rfam family "Bacterial small subunit ribosomal RNA", at positions 30 to 515 of the family's 1533-position model. The record is from RNAcentral.
AUUGAACGCUGGCGGCAUGCCUUACACAUGCAAGUCGAACGGUAACAGCACUUCGGUGGCUGACGAGUGGCGAACGGGUGAGUAAUACAUCGGAACGUGCCCGAGAGUGGGGGAUAACGCAGCGAAAGCUGUGCUAAUACCGCAUACGAUCUACGGAUGAAAGCAGGGGACCGCAAGGCCUUGCGCUCAUGGAGCGGCCGAUGGCAGAUUAGGUAGUUGGUGGGAUAAAAGCUUACCAAGCCGACGAUCUGUAGCUGGUCUGAGAGGACGACCAGCCACACUGGGACUGAGACACGGCCCAGACUCCUACGGGAGGCAGCAGUGGGGAAUUUUGGACAAUGGGCGAAAGCCUGAUCCAGCCAUGCCGCGUGCAGGAUGAAGGCCUUCGGUUGUAAACUGCUUUGUACGGACGAAAGGUCGUUUUCUAAUUAAAGAAGGCUCAUGACGGUACCGUAAGAAUAAGCACCGGCUAACUACGUGCCAGCACG